UAGGGAAUAUUGGUUAAUGUGCGAAAGCGCGAACCAGCAACGCCGCGUGUGCGAUGAAGGCCUUCGGGUCGUAAAGCACUUUUUGCAGGGACGAGGAAGGACGGUACCUGCAGAAUAAGUCUCGGCUAACUACGUGCCAGCAGCCGCGGUAAAACGUAGGAGACGAGCGUUAUCCGGAUUUACUGGGCGUAAAGCGCGUGCAGGCGGCAUGGCAAGUUGGAUGUGAAAGCUCCCGGCUUAACUGGGAGAGGUCGUUCAAUACUGCCAAGCUUGAGAGUGGUAGAGGGAAGCGGAAUUCCGGGUGUAGUGGUGAAAUGCGUAGAUAUCCGGAGGAACACCAGUGGCGAAAGCGGCUUCCUGGCCCAUUUCUGACGCUCAGACGCGAAAGCUAGGGUAGCAAACGG
Molecule: ribosomal RNA, 404 nt
Filed under: uncultured bacterium
Lineage: Bacteria
Description: bacterial SSU rRNA
Rfam family: Bacterial small subunit ribosomal RNA
Source: RNAcentral